Molecule: long non-coding RNA, 1193 nt
Organism: Osmia lignaria (orchard mason bee)
Lineage: Eukaryota; Metazoa; Arthropoda; Insecta; Hymenoptera; Megachilidae
Source: RefSeq, a predicted model, not a curated record
CAGUUAGUAAUACAAUAGAGAUAUUCAACACCUUCUGGACAAAUGAUCUGUAUUUCUAAUUCAUCUGUUUUGAAGCAAUAAGAAGGAUCUAGUCAAGAAGAUGUUGAAAGAGGAAAUUAUCAAGAUCCCACAAUAUUUCAACCAAGGUGCUCGUUGUACUAAAGCUACAGAGUGUUCCAUGCAAUCAGAGAGAUCUACUGGACCUAUCUAAAUGAAUUCUUGUGAGAUGUGUGAUUGAAUUUGGGAUAGUGAGACUAAAUGGAUUGUGAAAGAAACGGUUGGCGUUGUGUCCAAGGAUGUACAGGACAUGCGAUACAAAGAACAGAAUUCUGCAUGCGAGCAAUUUGGCUUUUCUUCGUUGGAUACUUACUGAGUAAGGGGUAUGUUAUCCCUGUCUGCAUACGCGUCAUACAAAUAUUCACUGGAACGGAGCGUGUUAGCGGUUAGAUUCCAACAACCAUUCCACACAUUAGACAGCUACUUUUAACUUAAUAUAAACUACAGCAUUGGAAAGUCGAGCAGGGAUUCGAUUGUUACGUUAAAAAAAACAAAACAAUAAAAUCAGAACAUUUCAAUGAAAGAUUAAUACAAUUGAAUUCCUGCCGCAAGAGAACAUAUUUUCCAUUGGACUUCUUACUAUUUUCUUGUUGCAUUUUUGCGCGCGAUUGACAGGAUCAAUGAUUAGUUAAUAGGGCACACAGAGGUGACGAAAAGAGACUGGCACUUAUGAUUUAAGUUUGUCGAUUAGCACGAGAUCGCGCGAGAUAAUCACGAGAUUCUCUAAUUAAGGAUCAUUCAUGCCGACUAGAAAACUGAAAGAUGUUGCAAGCGCGAUUAAAUGCAUGCUUUUGGAUACGUAUGGAAGCUCGAUUAACUACCAGACCGAAGACAGAAGACUCAAUACUUGCUACAAUAAGGAGUGGUCAGAAUUUGUUUGGCGAAGAAAUGAGCGGAGAGAUAAUGGAAGCGAUUGUUUUCGAGUGAAUGUUAUGAGUAUCUUAAUAAACUAAACUUUUUCAACGUUCAAUCAAAUGAAUGAUAAUGAAUAACCCUGGCUUCACACCAAAAGGGAGAUUGGUAUCUUGAUGGUCGACAUGCAUCAGGUAUUUAAUUAUAAAUUGAAAACAUAUAAUAGCGUUUAAUCUAUCGAUCGGGUUUAAUUGCUGUUAAAAUAUCAGAAACUUACGCUUCGA